Molecule: ribosomal RNA, 253 nt
Filed under: uncultured bacterium
Lineage: Bacteria
Description: partial 16S ribosomal RNA
Rfam family: Bacterial small subunit ribosomal RNA
Source: RNAcentral
GACAGAGGGUGCAAGCAUUAAUAGGAUUUAUUGGGCGUAAAGAGCACGUAGGCUGAGAGGAUAGUUAGAUGUGAAAGCCCAGGACUCAAUCCUGGAAACGCAUCUAAAACUCCCUCUCUAGAGGGUAGACGGAGAAAAUGGAAUUCCACGUGUAGCGGUGAAAUGCGUAGAUAUGUGGAAGAACACCGGUGGCGAAGGCGAUUUUCUAGUUUAUUUCUGACGCUGCGGUGCCAAAGCAAGGGGAGCACUCUGG